This 653-nucleotide long non-coding RNA is filed under the name Sarcophilus harrisii (Tasmanian devil). Its description in RNAcentral is "lncRNA (ENSSHAG00000028614.1)". Lineage: Eukaryota; Metazoa; Chordata; Mammalia; Dasyuromorphia; Dasyuridae. The record is from RNAcentral.
UUUCUGACAGUAAGUUACUUGUGAUAUUCCUCAAUAAAAUCUCAUCCAAAAAUGAGAACCAUUUUUCUCAUUAAUUCUACUGAAGGAAUUUUGGAAGGAGUCCAUGGAAUAUGUUGCACCAGUCAAAUGGUUUAUAGAUGGAAAAAAAUACUUUAGAAGCAACGAUAAGAUCAUAUGGUCAGAUGAAGAACCAUUAAUUGGGGAAAGGACCAACUUUACUAAAAUGGAACCUCCUAAGGAAAUUCAAUCCAUAAAUUUUGAAAAUGGAAAAUUGCACAGUUUGUCAAACACUGUAAAACAAGAACAAAUGAUGAUUGAAGUGUCAAAAAAUAAAAAAACCUUCCAAUCCAGUAUAGUAAAUGAAUUUGGAGUUUUGGGGGAAAUUUACAACAAGAGUUUGGCAAAUGAUUUAAAAAUGGAGUCUUGUAUCGAAACACAAAGAGAGAAAGAUCCUUGGUGGAUGGUGGAUUUGCAAUCAACAUAUCCAGUAGAAUAUGUUUCUCUCACUGGCCGGAAAGAUUGUUGCCAACAUGAGAUGGAUGGAGCACUUAUUCUGGUUGGAAAUUCAUCAGAAAAUGGUGGUAAAUCAAAUUCGAGGUACUGACAUUUGGGCAAUUUAAUCUUUGAUCUUUUUAAAAUAUGAAACAAUUUAU